This 65-nucleotide transfer RNA is filed under the name Dipodomys ordii (Ord's kangaroo rat). It matches the Rfam family "tRNA". Rfam says of the family: Transfer RNA (tRNA) molecules are approximately 80 nucleotides in length. Their secondary structure includes four short double-helical elements and three loops (D, anti-codon, and T loops). The record is from Rfam by way of RNAcentral. Lineage: Eukaryota; Metazoa; Chordata; Mammalia; Rodentia; Heteromyidae.
GGUGGCUCAGUGGUAGAGCACUUGCAUCACAUGCAAGAGGUCCUGGGUUCAAUUCCUCAGCACCA